UAGGGAAUCUUCCACAAUGGACGCAAGUCUGAUGGAGCAACGCCGCGUGAGUGAAGAAGGUUUUCGGAUCGUAAAGCUCUGUUGUUGGUGAAGAAGGAUAGAGGCAGUAACUGGUCUUUAUUUGACGGUAAUCAACCAGAAAGUCACGGCUAACUACGUGCCAGCAGCCGCGGUAAUACGUAGGUGGCAAGCGUUGUCCGGAUUUAUUGGGCGUAAAGCGAGCGCAUGCGGAAUGAUAAGUCUGAUGUGAAAGCCCACGGCUCAACCGUGGAACUGCAUCGGAAACUGUCAUUCUUGAGUGCAGAAGAGGAGAGUGGAAUUCCAUGUGUAGCGGUGGAAUGCGUAGAUAUAUGGAAGAACACCAGUGGCGAAUGCGGCUCUCUGGUCUGCAACUGACGCUGAGGCUCGAAAGCAUGGGUAGCGAACAGG
RNAcentral lists this ribosomal RNA (429 nucleotides) under bacterium. RNAcentral describes it as "partial 16S ribosomal RNA". It matches the Rfam family "Bacterial small subunit ribosomal RNA", at positions 355 to 776 of the family's 1533-position model. The record is from RNAcentral.